CUUGGCCUCCAAGAAUAGGCUACCUCCUUACAUACUCCUGCCUCUUGAGGAAUACCAUCUGCUAUCUCAGAACCUACAGAACUGCUCAUCUCUGACUUUCCAGAGAGGCCCCAGGGAGGUGGGGCAAGAAGAGAAGGAACAAAGUUGAUUGCCAAUGUCCUCAGAACCUGAGGAUGAAGAACGAAAGACAGUCCCUCUCACCCAAUAUCAAGACCUCCUGAUGUUCCAAGGUGAGGCCACUUGGACCCUGUUAUUAGAUACCUUGGAGGUGGGAAUGGCAGCUUCCUACUGAAGUGACAACCACCUACUGAAGGGAAGGCUGCACUGGGAUAACCCGGAAAAGUAUCUGAUUUCACUAUUGUUCUUCCUUGGCCUGACAUGAAGCCAAGCAUUGUCCAAGUUUCUAUUGAGUGAGUUAAUAAAACCGGUUUAAACAGU
This is a long non-coding RNA of Mastomys coucha (southern multimammate mouse), 438 nucleotides long. RefSeq lists it as uncharacterized. Lineage: Eukaryota; Metazoa; Chordata; Mammalia; Rodentia; Muridae. The transcript is spliced from 2 exons. The record is from RefSeq and is a predicted model, not a curated record.